GACGAACGCUGGCGGCGUGCUUAACACAUGCAAGUCGAACGGAAAGGCCCUGCUUUUGUGGGGUGCUCGAGUGGCGAACGGGUGAGUAACACGUGAGUAACCUGCCCUUGACUUUGGGAUAACUUCAGGAAACUGGGGCUAAUACCGGAUAGGAGCUCCUGCUGCAUGGUGGGGGUUGGAAAGUUUCGGCGGUUGGGGAUGGACUCGGGGCUUAUCAGCUUGUUGGUGGGGUAGUGGCUUACCAAGGCUUUGACGGGUAGCCGGCCUGAGAGGGUGACCGGCCACGUUGGGACUGAGAUACGGCCCAGACUCCUACGGGAGGCAGCAGUGGGGAAUAUUGCACAAUGGGCGGGAGCCUGAUGCAGCAACGCCGCGUGCGGGAUGACGGCCUUCGGGUUGUAAACCGCUUUCGCCUGUGACGAAGCGUGAGUGACGGUAAUGGGUAAAGAAGCACCGGCUAACUACG
Molecule: ribosomal RNA, 466 nt
Filed under: uncultured bacterium
Lineage: Bacteria
Description: partial 16S ribosomal RNA
Rfam family: Bacterial small subunit ribosomal RNA
Source: RNAcentral